CCAAUAGCGUAUAUUAAAGUUGUUGCAGUUAAAAAGCUCGUAGUUGAAUUUCGGAAUCUGUCCGUUGGUCGGGCUUCAUUGUCAGUACUGGUGUGAUGGGUUCUUACCUUCUGAAUAACCAGCAUGCCAUUCAUUGGGUGCGUUGGGGAAGCAGGACUAUUACCUUGAAAAAAUUAGAGUGCUCAAAGCAGGCUAGUGCCUGAAUAAAUUAGCAUGGAAUAAUAAAAUAGGACGGCAUGGUUCUAUUUUGUUGGUUUCUAGGAUCACCGUAAUGAUUAAUAGGGAUAGUUGGGGGCAUUAGUAUUCAAUUGUCAGAGGUGAAAUUGUUGGAUUUAUUGAAGACUAACUUCUGCGAAAGCAUUUGCCAAGGAUGUUUUCAUUAAUCAAGAACGAAAGUUAGGGGAUCGAAGACGAUCAGAUACCGUCGUAGUCUUAACCAUAAACUAUGCCGACUAGGGAUCGGACGAUGUUAAUUUUUUAAUGACUCGUUCGGCGCCUUACG
Molecule: ribosomal RNA, 502 nt
Filed under: uncultured Glomeromycotina
Lineage: Eukaryota; Fungi; Glomeromycota
Description: partial small subunit ribosomal RNA
Rfam family: Eukaryotic small subunit ribosomal RNA
Source: RNAcentral